AUGUUUUUAGUAUAUUAGUACAUUUACCUUCCAAGUAAAAAGAUUAUAAAAAUAAAAAACAUA
RNAcentral lists this transfer RNA (63 nucleotides) under Aporrectodea trapezoides. Its description in RNAcentral is "tRNA-Gly". Lineage: Eukaryota; Metazoa; Annelida; Clitellata; Crassiclitellata; Lumbricidae. The record is from RNAcentral.